Molecule: ribosomal RNA, 744 nt
Filed under: Triticum aestivum (bread wheat)
Lineage: Eukaryota; Viridiplantae; Streptophyta; Magnoliopsida; Poales; Poaceae
Description: partial small subunit ribosomal RNA
Source: RNAcentral
AUGUCCACCAACAAGCUUUACCAUGUCACUCUAUCGGAGCCUGCCUUCCGCACACGCCACAUCAUGGGCUCCUCGUACGGCUGGCUCAUCACUGCGGAUGAGCGGUCGAAUCUCAUACUAGUCAAUCCUGCAACCAGAGCUCAGAUAGCUAUGCCUCCACCUGAAACCAUGAACAAUGUUAGACUGCGCUACACUGAAGAGGGCGUGCUAGAUGGAUAUGAUGUCCUUUACAUGGAUCUGUUCUCUUCGGAUUUUGACACAGAAACGGAGCCAUACCAUCUUACACUUGAAGAAGCCCGCUUCUUCUUUUAUGAGAGGGUUGUUCUUUCUUGCGAUCCUUCCCAAGGAAACUGCACAGUGCUACGAGUACAACUGCCCAAUAAUCAACUCUCUUAUACCAGGGUUGGGGACUCCAAAUGGACUUGGAUUGGUGGAAAAGGCAAUUGCUGGAAAUAUCAAGAUAUUCUUCAUAACAACAAUGAUGGUUUGUUUUAUGGUGUUCGUGGUAGGGGUGAAGUUGAUUCUAUUAAUCUUAAUGGACCUUCCGCUGAAGUGAAAGUUAUUUUGAAGCCGAUCAUAUCCUAUCAAGCGCAUAGUAGAUAUAUUGUUCAAGCACCAUGGGGAGAUCUUUUCCAGAUAUGGAGACAUGAUAAGUAUAGUAAUGAGAAUGGAAAAAGAGAACGGGUUGCAGACAAGUUUUUCGUGUACAAGAUUGAUUUGUUGAACAAAAGCUUGUUGAAAUAA